This 544-nucleotide unclassified non-coding RNA is filed under the name Hevea brasiliensis (rubber tree). Lineage: Eukaryota; Viridiplantae; Streptophyta; Magnoliopsida; Malpighiales; Euphorbiaceae. The record is from RNAcentral.
UCUCCUGUUCAUUCAAAGAAGCCACAGCGAAAGUCCCUGCCUAAAUUGCCUUCUCAGAAAAGCAGUUUAUCCAACGCAACAAACGAUGAAAAAGCUGCAUCAUCUAAAGCAACAAAUGUGGAAAAUGCCACCUCGUCUAAUCAAUUGAAUGAAGAUGCAUCUCCAACCCAAGAGGUUCCUAUGGCUGUAUCUAGUGAAAUCCGGUCCCACAAAGAUGAGGAGCUAGUUGUUGGAGAGGAAGGUCAGCCUAAUUUAGUGCAAGAACCUAUAGCAUCCGAGUGUUAAUCAGAGCAACAUUAGAAUCGGAUGCGCUUACAUAGGCCUUGAAUCGGUGUCCGUAAAUAAGAGUUCAAGACUUGAAUCAUCUCACAAUGGAGCAAUGAAGGAUAUUACAGUAUGGAUUGUGAUGUCAUGUUUUUCAGUAGUCAGCAGCAUUGAUUGUUUUGUGUGCCUGCUUUCAAGGUUACUGAUCUUCUCAUUAGGAUUCUUCAUUCUGCUUGCAGCAUUGUGUGUUACCAUUUGCUAAAUUUACCUUAUUUAUGUU